UGGGGAAUCUUGCGCAAUGGGCGAAAGCCUGACGCAGCGACGCCGCGUGCGGGAAGAAGGCCUUCGGGUUGUAAACCGCUUUCAGGAGGGACGAAGCCACUCAGGUUAAUAGCCGAGAGGGUGACGGUACCUCCAGAAGAAGCCCCGGCUAACUACGUGCCAGCAGCCGCGGUAAUACGUAGGGGGCUAGCGUUGUCCGGAUUUAUUGGGCGUAAAGAGCGUGUAGGCGGCCAUGUAGGUCCGGUGUGAAAACUCGAGGCUUAACCUCGAGAUGUCAUCGGAAACCAUUUGGCUAGAGUCCGGAAGAGGAGAGUGGAAUUCCUGGUGUAGCGGUGAAAUGCGCAGAUAUCAGGAAGAACACCAAUGGCGAAAGCAGCUCUCUGGGACGGUACUGACGCUGAGACGCGAAAGCGUGGGGAGCGAACA
RNAcentral lists this ribosomal RNA (426 nucleotides) under uncultured bacterium. RNAcentral describes it as "bacterial SSU rRNA". It matches the Rfam family "Bacterial small subunit ribosomal RNA", at positions 355 to 774 of the family's 1533-position model. The record is from RNAcentral. RNAcentral also lists the same sequence under 1 other name.